GGGCAAUUAGCUCAGUGGUAGAGCGUUCGCUUUGCAUCGAGGCCACUAUGUCUCAUGUAUCAUGAACUGCGAAAGGCCCAGGGUUCAAUCCCCUGAUUGUCCA
Molecule: non-coding RNA, 103 nt
Organism: Whalleya microplaca
Lineage: Eukaryota; Fungi; Ascomycota; Sordariomycetes; Xylariales; Xylariaceae
Source: the annotation of a GenBank genome assembly